Molecule: unclassified non-coding RNA, 321 nt
Filed under: Hevea brasiliensis (rubber tree)
Lineage: Eukaryota; Viridiplantae; Streptophyta; Magnoliopsida; Malpighiales; Euphorbiaceae
Source: RNAcentral
GCAGGUUUUCAUAUUAAUUUGCCGAUCUAUAAUCUUUUUUACUAAAGGAAAUUAUCUAAUUAUCCUUCCUUUAUAUUAAAAUUCCUUUUCUUUCUUUCUUUCCUUUACUUUCUCAUCGCCCAAACACCACCUCAAGCUUUCCUCCUUCUCCUCCUUCAAGCCCUACUCUCAUUCCUACCUCAUAGAUCUCCAAUCAAGAUGUUAACUCUCUUAUAGUAUAUCCCUGAAAUGCUCAACCAUCUCCUUGGGCUUCACUCUUUUCUCUCUACAGCCUCCAACGGACAUUAACAACUAUGCUUCUCUUUCUCCUUGCUUUCCUUU